Molecule: ribosomal RNA, 253 nt
Filed under: uncultured bacterium
Lineage: Bacteria
Description: partial 16S ribosomal RNA
Rfam family: Bacterial small subunit ribosomal RNA
Source: RNAcentral
UACGAGGGGGGCAAGCGUUGUUCGGAAUUAUUGGGCGGAAAGGGUGCGUAGGCGGUCUGAUAAGUCAUCUGUGAAAUCUAUGGGCUCAACCCAUAGUCUGCAGGCGAAACUGUCGGGCUUGAGUAUGGGAGAGGUGAGUGGAAUUUCCGGUGUAGCGGUGAAAUGCGUAGAUAUCGGAAGGAACACCUGUGGCGAAAGCGGCUCACUGGACCAUUACUGACGCUGAUGCACGAAAGCUAGGGGAGCAAACAGG